RNAcentral lists this ribosomal RNA (503 nucleotides) under uncultured bacterium. RNAcentral's name for it is "partial 16S ribosomal RNA". It matches the Rfam family "Bacterial small subunit ribosomal RNA", at positions 30 to 523 of the family's 1533-position model. The record is from RNAcentral.
AUUGAACGCUGGCGGCAGGCUUAACACAUGCAAGUCGAGCGGGGUGAUGGUGCUUGCACUAUCACUUAGCGGCGGACGGGCGAGUAAUGCUUAGGAAUCUGCCUAUUAGUGGGGGACAACAUCUCGAAAGGGAUGCUAAUACCGCAUACGUCCUACGAGAGAAAGCAGGGGAGCACUUGUGACCUUGCGCUAAUAGAUGAGCCUAAGUCGGAUUAGCGAGUUGGUGGGGUAAAGGCCUACCAAGGCGACGAUCUGUAGCGGGUCUGAGAGGAUGAUCCGCCACACUGGGACUGAGACACGGCCCAGACUCCUACGGGAGGCAGCAGUGGGGAAUAUUGGACAAUGGGGGGAACCCUGAUCCAGCCAUGCCGCGUGUGUGAAGAAGGCCUUAUGGUUGUAAAGCACUUUAAGCGAGGAGGAGGCUCUUUUGGUUAAUACCCAAGAUGAGUGGACGUUACUCGCAGAAUAAGCACCGGCUAACUCUGUGCCAGCCGCCGCCGUAA